RNAcentral lists this ribosomal RNA (274 nucleotides) under uncultured bacterium. Its description in RNAcentral is "partial 16S ribosomal RNA". It matches the Rfam family "Bacterial small subunit ribosomal RNA", at positions 523 to 796 of the family's 1533-position model. The record is from RNAcentral.
AUACGGAGGGGGCUAGCGUUGUUCGGAAUUACUGGGCGUAAAGCGCACGUAGGCGGAUUAAAAAGUUAGAGGUGAAAUCCCAGGGCUUAACCCAGGAACUGCCUUUAAAACUAGUAGUCUAGAGUUCGAGAGAGGUGAGUGGAAUUCCAAGUGUAGAGGUGAAAUUCGUAGAUAUUUGGAGGAACACCAGUGGCGAAGGCGGCUCACUGGCUCGAUACUGACGCUGAGGUGCGAAAGCGUGGGGAGCAAACAGGAUUAGAAACCCUAGUAGUCC